CCCUUAGAUGUUCUGGGCCGCACGCGUGCUACACUGAGUAAUUCAAUGGGUAAGGGAACGCUAGAGCAUUACCUAAUCUUGAAAUUUGCUCGUGAUGGGGAUCGACGGUUGCAAUUUUCCGUCGUGAACGAGGAAUACCUUGUAGGCGCAUGUCAUCAUCAUGCGCCGAAUACGUCCCUGCCCUUUGUACACACCGCCCGUCGCUCCUACCGAUUGAGUGAUCCGGUGAGGCUCUGGGACCUGGACGGAAAGAGCGUUUCGCUUGUUCUGUUUGGGAAACUUGGUCGAACCUUAUCAUUUAGAGGAAGGAGAAGUCGUAGCA
RNAcentral lists this ribosomal RNA (322 nucleotides) under uncultured eukaryote. RNAcentral describes it as "partial 18S ribosomal RNA". It matches the Rfam family "Eukaryotic small subunit ribosomal RNA", at positions 1470 to 1796 of the family's 1831-position model. The record is from RNAcentral.